This 148-nucleotide small RNA is filed under the name Macaca mulatta (Rhesus monkey). RNAcentral describes it as "Metazoan signal recognition particle RNA (ENSMMUG00000055008.1)". The record is from Rfam by way of RNAcentral. Lineage: Eukaryota; Metazoa; Chordata; Mammalia; Primates; Cercopithecidae.
GCCGGGCGUGGUGGCGGGCGCCUGUAGUCCCAGCUACUCGGGAGGCUGAGGCAGGAGAAUGGCUUGAACCCGGGAGGCGGAGCUUGCAGUGAGCCGAGAUCCGGCCACUGCACUCCAGCCCGGGCAACACAGCAAGACUCCGUCUCAA